Molecule: ribosomal RNA, 435 nt
Filed under: uncultured bacterium
Lineage: Bacteria
Description: bacterial SSU rRNA
Rfam family: Bacterial small subunit ribosomal RNA
Source: RNAcentral
AGCGAACGCUGGCGGAAUGCUUAACACAUGCAAGUCGCACGGGGGCUUCGGCCUUAGUGGCGGACGGGUGAGUAACGCGUAGGAAUGUGUCCGAGGGUGGGGGAUAACGUUGGGAAACUGACGCUAAUACCGCAUAUCCCCUGAGGGGGAAAGCAGAGAUGCGCCCACGGAGCAGCCUGCGUCCGAUUAGCUAGUUGGUUAGGUAAAGGCUGACCAAGGCGACGAUCGGUAGCUGGUCUGAGAGGAUGAUCAGCCACACUGGAACUGAGACACGGUCCAGACUCCUACGGGAGGCAGCAGUGGGGAAUAUUGGACAAUGGGCGCAAGCCUGAUCCAGCAAUUCCGCGUGGGUGAAGAAGGUCUUCGGAUUGUAAAGCCCUUUCGUUGGGGACGAUGAUGACGGUACCCAAAGAAGAAGCCCCGGCUAACUUCGUG